Molecule: ribosomal RNA, 253 nt
Filed under: uncultured bacterium
Lineage: Bacteria
Description: partial 16S ribosomal RNA
Rfam family: Bacterial small subunit ribosomal RNA
Source: RNAcentral
UACGGGGGGGGCAAGCGUUGUUCGGAAUUACUGGGCGUAAAGGGCUCGUAGGUGGCCAACUAAGUCGGACGUGAAAUCCCUCAGCUUAACUGGGGAACUGCGUCCGAUACUGGAUGGCUCGAGUUUGGGAGAGGGAUGCGGAAUUCCAGGUGUAGCGGUGAAAUGCGUAGAUAUCUGGAGGAACACCGGUGGCGAAGGCGGCAUCCUGGACCAAUUCUGACGCUGAGGAGCGAAAGCCAGGGGAGCAAACGGG